RNAcentral lists this ribosomal RNA (484 nucleotides) under uncultured bacterium. RNAcentral's name for it is "bacterial SSU rRNA". It matches the Rfam family "Bacterial small subunit ribosomal RNA", at positions 28 to 507 of the family's 1533-position model. The record is from RNAcentral.
GAUGAACGCUAGCGGGAGGCUUAACACAUGCAAGUCGAGGGGCAGCACAAGGAGCAAUCUGAGGUGGCGACCGGCGCACGGGUGAGUAACACGUAUGCAACCUACCUGUAAGAGGGGAAUAACCCGUUGAAAAACGGACUAAUACCGCAUAACACUGUAGAACCGCAUGGUUUGACAGUUAAACAUUUAUGGCUUACAGAUGGGCAUGCGCAUGAUUAGCUAGUUGGUGAGGUAACGGCUCACCAAGGCAACGAUCAUUAGGGGUUCUGAGAGGAAGGUCCCCCACACUGGUACUGAGACACGGACCAGACUCCUACGGGAGGCAGCAGUAAGGAAUAUUGGUCAAUGGAGGCAACUCUGAACCAGCCAUGCCGCGUGCAGGAUGACGGCCCUAUGGGUUGUAAACUGCUUUUGUACCAGAGAAAACCUAUCUACGUGUAGAUAGCUGAUAGUAUGGUAAGAAUAAGCAUCGGCUAACUUCGUG